AUUGAACGCUGGCGGCAGGCCUAACACAUGCAAGUCGAGCGGAUGAAGGGAGCUUGCUCCUGGAUUCAGCGGCGGACGGGUGAGUAAUGCCUAGGAAUCUGCCUGGUAGUGGGGGAUAACGUCCGGAAACGGGCGCUAAUACCGCAUACGUCCUGAGGGUGAAAGAGGGGGAUCUUCGGACCUCACGCUAUUAGAUGAGCCCAGGUCGGAUUAGCUAGUUGGUGGGGUAAAGGCCUACCAAGGCGACGACCCGUAACUGGUCUGAGAGGAUGAUCAGUCACACUGGAACGGAGAAACGGUCCAGACUCCUACGGGAGGCGGCAGAGGGGAAUAUUGGACAAUGGGCGAAGUCCUGAUCCAGCCAUGCCGCGUGUGUGAAGAAGUUCUUCGGAUUGUAAAGCACUUUAAGUUGGGAGGAAGGGCAGUAAGUUAAUACCUUGCUGUUUUGACGUUACCAACAGAAUAAGCACCGGCUAACUUCGUG
RNAcentral lists this ribosomal RNA (484 nucleotides) under uncultured bacterium. Its description in RNAcentral is "partial 16S ribosomal RNA". It matches the Rfam family "Bacterial small subunit ribosomal RNA", at positions 30 to 507 of the family's 1533-position model. The record is from RNAcentral.